UGUGAGUUCCUCCUUUCCCAGGGAAGAGGGAAACAGCCCCGAUUGCUUUUGCAAGGAACAGUAGAAUACAGCAGAACUGGGAAGGAAAACACAGCAGCUCCUAGUGCAUUCCAAAGAUUUGGUUUGAAAGCAUGAGAAACCUGCUGGAGCCAAUUUUUAAACAGUGAAGAGAUGGCUGCAGUUGACAGGGUCACUGUGGAAACUAUUAAAAACCAAUUAAAUCCAAUCGGUGAUGUGAUUAUUGCACCAAACAAAAGGGACACUAUGUACUACACUACGAUUUGAAGCUUCAGAGUCUUCUCCAUCAGGCAAAGAUGUAAAAUAGCAUACAGGGGAAGGUUUCUACCAUGUUGUUCAUCACUACCUCAUAUGGUGGAAAAUUUCAUGGCUUAAUGAUGUCGUGUGUGAAAUAUAAUAAAAAUAUAAUUUGCAAUACCUCUCACAUCUUGCUUUUUUCUUAACUUUUUCUCUCCCC
Sceloporus undulatus (fence lizard) is the source of this 475-nucleotide long non-coding RNA. RefSeq lists it as uncharacterized. The record is from RefSeq and is a predicted model, not a curated record. Lineage: Eukaryota; Metazoa; Chordata; Lepidosauria; Squamata; Phrynosomatidae. The transcript has 4 exons.